ACCCUGUCAAUCACCUUCAAGCGGCGGCCGACGCGCUGCUCCUGGCCAAUCAGCAAACGCGAAUUCAGCCUCUGGGUUGCAAUUGGUGAAGCAAGAGCGCCAUUUCGGGCCUUUAAAAGCCCUCUCUCGGCGCCUGCCUUCGCGAGAAGACCUUCAGCGCUGCUGCUGCCGCCGCCGCCGCCGCCGCCUUUGGUUGAACUGACGUCAGUUCUCCCAAACCACCGGCAGAGGGCGCCCGAGUCUGGAAGACGUGGAGAGACGUAAGUGCACAAGCAUUUUUGUUCCUGAAUGAAAGAAGUAUACAAAAUUGAUGAAUAAAUACCAUCUCUAAAGCUGUGUUUGACACCCUAGUCCUUCCAUACUGCCUUCCUAAAUGGAACUGUUUACUCGAAAUGAGUUGCAGUUGUCAAUAUGAAGACUGCACAAAUGACAUGAAAGUCCAUAACUGAAGAUUGUGUGCCACAAAUGUAAUGAAUUUGGAACACCUUUUAAUACUUUGCCUGUGGAUUUUGCCUUUUCCUCUUUCAGAUAACAAACAACAUGAGCAGGUAAAGUGUCAUAUAAAGCCCUCUAUCUCUCUUUCUAUAUAUACAUGUCAGUAUCACUCUCUUUCUGUAAGCCUGUCUGUUUUAAGAUUUGUGGAGGAGAGCUUUCGCUCAGUCCCAUCACCAUCACAAUUACUAGUGGUGAGAACAUGGAAGAUUGCUCUCAGGGAGGCUUCUUAUUGGGUGUAUGCUUUAUUUAUUUUUAACUUUUGUAUGUUUUAAAAAAAUAUAGUUUUCCUUUAAUUUUAUACUCUUUUAAAUGGUAUGAUUUUAAUUAUGUCAGGUUUUAAUCAAUGUAUUAUGUAAGCUGCUAUACUAAAUAAUUAUAUUUCUCAUUGCCUGCUCCCAGGCUGCAGAAGUUCUCCCACUAAGGACUAGGUGGCCCUCUAUCUCCUCCUGCCAGCAGGUGUGGACCUUUUACUUGAAUAGACAUUUGGUAACUAGCUGGCUAUGAAGUACUUUUAUUAUAUUUUAAUAUGGUAGUUUAUUUAAUUCUUUUUUAACUUUCAUAAUUAUGUAGGGUCCCAUAUCAGGAUAAACUUGGGAUAUAAAUUAAAUAUAUGAAUUUAUUUAAAAAUAUUUGAAAGAAUGACGAAAGAUCAUCAGAAAACAGUGACAGCAGCACAGUGCAUCUCUUCUGGUUUAUUUACAGACAUAUUACAGUUAACAAAACUGACCAAGAUCCUUUUUACAAGCAUCUGUAAAACGCAUCUGCCUAGUUAGAAAUCUUUUAGCAGAGGCUGGUGAGGGAGAACUGGAGGAACAUGCUUUUGUUGCUGAGUUAAAGUAGGGGGUCUAUAAUAAACAAAGCAAUAAAGCUUCAGCUGGGAAAGAAUGGUAUCUCAUUUUAGUCAAUCAUAUUAUAGCUGUGUGUGAGUGCCUACAACAGGCAAGGUAAACAGCAGUUGCUUUCAGAAUAAUUUACUGAGCAUGCAUGAACAACAAAACGGGAAAAAGAAAGCUGAUAAGUCUGCUUCUAUUCCAACAUUUAAAAAAAAACAGGUGUGGCCAGUAAAAUUAAAUUUUUAACAGAAGUGGAAGCUGAUGAGGGAGAAAAAAAAUUCUGGAAACAUUUUGUAAGAAACUCUCAGGCUGAACAUGUUUUUGUUUAUAAUUAACCUCUUCUAUUGCAUAUUGUCCCUUCAGAAUAAAGUUUGAUGAAACAA
Molecule: long non-coding RNA, 1711 nt
Organism: Sceloporus undulatus (fence lizard)
Lineage: Eukaryota; Metazoa; Chordata; Lepidosauria; Squamata; Phrynosomatidae
Exons: 3
Source: RefSeq, a predicted model, not a curated record